This 261-nucleotide ribosomal RNA is filed under the name uncultured Oscillospiraceae bacterium. Its description in RNAcentral is "partial 16S ribosomal RNA". It matches the Rfam family "Bacterial small subunit ribosomal RNA", at positions 79 to 339 of the family's 1533-position model. Lineage: Bacteria; Bacillati; Bacillota; Clostridia; Eubacteriales; Oscillospiraceae. The record is from RNAcentral.
CUUGCUCUUCAAAUCGAGUGGCGGACGGGUGAGUAACGCGUGAGGAACCUGCCUUUCAGAGGGGGACAACAGUUGGAAACGACUGCUAAUACCGCAUAACACAUAGGUGUCGCAUGGCACUUAUGUCAAAGAUUUAUCGCUGAAAGAUGGCCUCGCGUCUGAUUAGAUAGUUGGUGAGGUAACGGCCCACCAAGUCGACGAUCAGUAGCCGGACUGAGAGGUUGAACGGCCACAUUGGGACUGAGAUACGGCCCAGACUCC